UCCUCAGUGUGUUUAUGGAUUAUAGCUUUAGAUUGAGAUACUCACUGUGUUUAUACAUUAUAGCUUUAGAUU
Pangasianodon gigas (Mekong giant catfish) is the source of this 72-nucleotide non-coding RNA. The record is from the annotation of a GenBank genome assembly. NCBI's taxonomy places the organism in Eukaryota, Metazoa, Chordata, Actinopteri, Siluriformes, Pangasiidae.